Molecule: ribosomal RNA, 459 nt
Filed under: uncultured bacterium
Lineage: Bacteria
Description: partial 16S ribosomal RNA
Rfam family: Bacterial small subunit ribosomal RNA
Source: RNAcentral
CCUACGGGUGGCAGCAGUGAGGAAUAUUGGUCAAUGGGCGCGAGCCUGAACCAGCCAAGUCGCGUGAGGGAAGACGGUCCUAUGGAUUGUAAACCUCUUUUGCCGGGGAGCAAAAGACGCCACGCGUGGCGUUCCGAGAGUACCCGAAGAAAAAGCAUCGGCCAACUCCGUGCCAGCAGCCGCGGUAAUACGGAGGAUGCGAGCGUUAUCCGGAUUUUUUGGGUUUAAAGGGUGCGCAGGCGGAAGAUCAAGUCAGCGGUAAAAUUGAGAGGCUCAACCUCUUCGAGCCGUUGAAACUGGUUUUCUUGAGUGAGCGAGAAGUAUGCGGAAUGCGUGGUGUAGCGGUGAAAUGCAUAGAUAUCACGCAGAACUCCGAUUGCGAAGGCAGCAUGCCGGCGCUCAACUGACGCUCAUGCACGAAAGUGUGGGUAUCGAACAGGAUUAGAUACCCCUGUAGUC